GCGCUGACUUAAUCUGCCCGCAUCUUAAGGUAAGGCGUCUACUUAGUCUCUGGAACGGGACGCCGUACAGGGUGAGAGCCCCGUACGGCUGGAUGCCGAGCCUCUGUAAAGCUCCCUCGAAGAGUCGAGUAGUUUGGGAAUGCUGCUCUAAACGGGAGGUAAACCCCUUCUAAAGCUAAAUACUGGCCAGAGACCGAUAGCGCACAAGUAGAGUGAUCGAAAGAUGAAAAGCACUUUGAAAAGAGAGUUAAACAGCACGUGAAAUUGUUGAAAGGGAAGCGCUUGUGACCAGACUUGCGUCCGGCAGCUUACCCGCCCCUUGGGGCGGUGCACUCUGCCGGCUCAGCCAGCAUCAGUUCUCGGUUGGGGAGAAAGGCGGCGGGAACGUGGCUCUUCGGAGUGUUAUAGCCUGCCGCUACGCCCUUCCGUGGACUGAGGUUCGCGCUAAGGAUGCUGGCGUAAUGGUCACUAGCGACCCGUCUUGAAACACGGACCAAGGAGUCGUCCUAGCAUGCGANUGUUCNGGUGCCAAACCCCUACGCGUAAUGAAAGUNAACCGAGGUGAAACUUUGGCGCAUCAUCGACCGAUCCUGAAGUUUCGGAUGGAUUUGAGUAGGAACUUCUUGGGCCGACCCCAAAGAAGAUGACUAUCCUGGAUAGGGCAAACCCCAGGAAACUUUGGGGAGGCUUCCAACGGUUCUAAUGCCAAUGAUGGUAAAAUUGCCCUGGGGGGA
Molecule: ribosomal RNA, 734 nt
Filed under: Monodictys pelagica
Lineage: Eukaryota; Fungi; Ascomycota; Dothideomycetes; Pleosporales
Description: eukaryotic LSU rRNA
Rfam family: Eukaryotic large subunit ribosomal RNA
Source: RNAcentral